This 305-nucleotide ribosomal RNA is filed under the name uncultured bacterium. RNAcentral describes it as "bacterial SSU rRNA". It matches the Rfam family "Bacterial small subunit ribosomal RNA", at positions 332 to 655 of the family's 1533-position model. The record is from RNAcentral.
CUAACCUACGGGGCGCAGCAGUGGGGAAUAUUGCACAAUGGGGGAAACCCUGAUGCAGCGACGCCGCGUGAAGGAAGAAGUAUCUCGGUAUGUAAACUUCUAUCAGCAGGGAAGAAAACAGACGGAACCUGACUAAGAAGCCCCGGCUAACUACGUGCCAGCAGCCGCGGUAAUACGUAGGGGGCAAGCGUUAUCCGGAUUUACUGGGUGUAAAGGGAGCGUAGACGGCGAAGAAAGUCUGAAGUGAAAGCCCGCGGCUCAACCGCGGAAUGGCUUUGGAAACUUUUUUGCUGGAGUACCGGAGG